RNAcentral lists this ribosomal RNA (417 nucleotides) under Kingella kingae. Its description in RNAcentral is "bacterial SSU rRNA". It matches the Rfam family "Bacterial small subunit ribosomal RNA", at positions 115 to 528 of the family's 1533-position model. Lineage: Bacteria; Pseudomonadati; Pseudomonadota; Betaproteobacteria; Neisseriales; Neisseriaceae. The record is from RNAcentral.
AUAUUGGAACGUACCGAGUAAUGGGGGAUAACUAUCCGAAAGGAUAGCUAAUACCGCAUACGCUUUGAGAAGGAAAGCAGGGGAUCUUCGGACCUUGCGUUAUUCGAGCGGCCAAUAACUGAUUAGCUAGUUGGUGGGGUAAGGGCCUACCAAGGCGACGAUCAGUAGUGGGUCUGAGAGGAUGAUCCGCCACACUGGGACUGAGACACGGCCCAGACUCCUACGGGAGGCAGCAGUGGGGAAUUUUGGACAAUGGGCGAAAGCCUGAUCCAGCCAUGCCGCGUGUCUGAAGAAGGCCUUCGGGUUGUAAAGGACUUUUGUUAGGGAAGAAAAGGUUGAUGCUAAUAUCAUUAACUGAUGACGGUACCUAAAGAAUAAGCACCGGCUAACUACGUGCCAGCAGCCGCGGUAAUACGU